GACGAACGCUGGCGGCGUGCUUAACACAUGCAAGUCGAACGGUGAAGCGCCUUCCUUUUUGGUGGGUGUGGAUGAGUGGCGAACGGGUGAGUAACACGUGAGUAACCUGCCCCCUUCUUCUGGAUAACCGCAUGAAAGUGUGGCUAAUACGGGAUAUUCUGGGUCUGUCGCAUGAUGGGUCUGGGAAAGAUAUUGUUUCGGUGGGGGAUGGGCUCGCGGCCUAUCAGCUUGUUGGUGGGGUGAUGGCCUACCAAGGCGGUGACGGGUAGCCGGCCUGAGAGGGUGGACGGUCACACUGGGACUGAGACACGGCCCAGACUCCUACGGGAGGCAGCUGUGGGGAAUAUUGCACAAUGGGCGCAAGCCUGAUGCAGCGACGCCGCGUGAGGGAUGGAGGCCUUCGGGUUGUGAACCUCUUUCGCCAGUGAAGCAGGCCUGCCUCGUUUGUGGGUGGGUUGACGGUAGCUGGAUAAGAAGCGCCGGCUAACUACGUG
This 494-nucleotide ribosomal RNA is filed under the name uncultured bacterium. RNAcentral describes it as "partial 16S ribosomal RNA". It matches the Rfam family "Bacterial small subunit ribosomal RNA", at positions 28 to 507 of the family's 1533-position model. The record is from RNAcentral.